This 26-nucleotide non-coding RNA is filed under the name Homo sapiens (human). Lineage: Eukaryota; Metazoa; Chordata; Mammalia; Primates; Hominidae. The record is from RNAcentral.
UGCCUUGUGAAGAAGGUGCUUGCUUC